Molecule: long non-coding RNA, 396 nt
Filed under: Prunus dulcis (almond)
Lineage: Eukaryota; Viridiplantae; Streptophyta; Magnoliopsida; Rosales; Rosaceae
Description: sRNA ncRNA
Source: RNAcentral
AUGAAUCCAUUGUUGCUGCUGUUCAUGUUUUUGCUCACUGCUAAUUGUGAGGCUGCAUGGCGUUCUACACAUGUUCAAAUCACCAACAAUCUGGACCCAAAUACCACAGAUCUGACCAUUCAUUGCAAGUCCGCGGACGACGAUCUAGGAGUUCAUGUACUUCACCAUCAAGAAUUCUACAGGUGGGAUUUCAAGAUAAACCUUUUCGGGGGCACACAGUUCUGGUGCAGCUUUCAAUGGCUUAACCAGUUUCAUUGGCUUGACGUUUUCAUAGAAGAGACGUUUAAUUGCAGGGACUGUAAAUGGAUUAUCAGCAAUGACGGUCCAAGCUUGUACAACAAGAUUACCGAAGUUUAUGAUCAUAAGAAAUGGAACGACCAGAAGAAACGCACAUAA